This 766-nucleotide ribosomal RNA is filed under the name uncultured organism. RNAcentral describes it as "bacterial SSU rRNA". It matches the Rfam family "Bacterial small subunit ribosomal RNA", at positions 730 to 1510 of the family's 1533-position model. The record is from RNAcentral.
UGGAUCGCACUUGGCUCUCAGAUGCGAUAGCGAGGGGAGCCAACAGGAUUAGAGACCCUGGUAGUCCUAGUCCUAAACGCUGGAUGCUAGGUGUAGGGCUGAUGAGACUUUGCGCAGGAAGUCACUCGAUAAGCAUGCCGCCUAGGAAGCAUUGCCCCAAUGGUAUAUCUCAAAGGAAUUGACGGGGCUCUGCACAAGCAGGGGAGUCUGUGGUUUAAUUCGGAAAUACAGGAAGAACCUUACUUGGGUUUGACAUGAUUGGUGGUACCGAACCGAAAGGGGAGGGACCUUUCGGGGAGCCAACACAGUUGCUGCAUGGCUGUAGUCAGCUGGUGCCAUGAGGUGUCGGGUUAAGUCCCGUAACGAGCGCAACCCUUGCUGUUAGUUAUACGUGUUUAAGGGGACUGCUGGUGACAAGCCGGAGGAAGGUGGGGACGAUUUCCAGUUUUUCAUGGCCUUGAUAUCCAAUUUUGUCACACAUGAGGGUAUGGGGGGUACAAUGGGCAGUCAAUUCCCGAGCUGGAGGGAAUCCCAGCAAAGCCCGUCCCAGUUUUUCAUGCAGAAAGCAACCCGCUUUCUUGAAGCGGAGGGGCGAUAACAAUGCGUCAGCCAUAGGGCGCAGGAUCAGUACCGGCUUGCCCUCCACCCCCCCAGUCGGGUCAUGGCAGUUGGCAACGCUUGACAAAGGUGCAUAACCGAAAGGAAGGGCCCGACAAAGGCGCAGCUCGUCACUUGAAGAAGUCUUACCACAAUAACCAAGGGCGAA